GAUGAACGCUGACAGAAUGCUUAACACAUGCAAGUCAACUUGAAUUUGGGUUUUUUAACUUAGAUUUGGGUGGCGGACGGGUGAGUAACGCGUAAAGAACUUGCCUCACAGCUAGGGACAACAUUUGGAAACGAAUGCUAAUACCUGAUAUUAUGAUUAUAAGGCAUCUUAGAAUUAUGAAAGCUAUAUGCGCUGUGAGAGAGCUUUGCGUCCCAUUAGCUAGUUGGAGAGGUAACGGCUCACCAAGGCGAUGAUGGGUAGCCGGCCUGAGAGGGUGAACGGCCACAAGGGGACUGAGACACGGCCCUUACUCCUACGGGAGGCAGCAGUGGGGAAUAUUGGACAAUGGACCAAGAGUCUGAUCCAGCAAUUCUGUGUGUACGAUGACGUUUUUCGGAAUGUAAAGUGCUUUCAGUUGGGAAGAAAAAAAUGACGGUACCAACAGAAGAAGUGACGGCUAAAUACGUG
This 468-nucleotide ribosomal RNA is filed under the name uncultured bacterium. Its description in RNAcentral is "partial 16S ribosomal RNA". It matches the Rfam family "Bacterial small subunit ribosomal RNA", at positions 28 to 507 of the family's 1533-position model. The record is from RNAcentral.